CGGGCGGACGGGUGAGUAACGCGUGGGUAACCUACCCUGUACACACGGAUAACAUACCGAAAGGUAUGCUAAUACGGGAUAAUAUAUUUGAGAGGCAUCUCUUAAAUAUCAAAGGUGAGCCAGUACAGGAUGGACCCGCGUCUGAUUAGCUAGUUGGUAAGGCAACGGCUUACCAAGGCGACGAUCAGUAGCCGACCUGAGAGGGUGAUCGGCCACAUUGGAACUGAGACACGGUCCAA
Molecule: ribosomal RNA, 239 nt
Filed under: uncultured bacterium
Lineage: Bacteria
Description: partial 16S ribosomal RNA
Rfam family: Bacterial small subunit ribosomal RNA
Source: RNAcentral